CGGACAACAUGAUUUGGCUCCAGAUCUGCCACGUUCCAAAUCUCCACAAUCGUGAAAUUCUAACCAGUUACUCAGCCUUGUGGAAUCUUUAGCACAGGUUCCGGUGAUUCAGAGCAAGGAAUUGUCAGAGACACACGGAUCAUAGCAAGCAAAGCGAGAGAAUGUAUUAAGGACACUCGACGAGAGGGAAGCCGGCCAGGCAGAGAGGACUCUGGAAACCCAGCAGGACGAUGCACAAAGGAACCUAGAUUUUCUGUUACAGUUUGCAUGCUUCCUGGCUCAUGUGCAGAAGUAUAGCCAUACAUUGGAGGAAGAAAAAUAAGCCCGUAUCCAUCUUGGGUUAUCACCCCAGACACUAACAUGUCUGUGACCACAGUUUAUAAAAGUUAAAUACAAACAACAAA
This is a long non-coding RNA of Mastomys coucha (southern multimammate mouse), 404 nucleotides long. RefSeq lists it as uncharacterized. The transcript is spliced from 3 exons. NCBI's taxonomy places the organism in Eukaryota, Metazoa, Chordata, Mammalia, Rodentia, Muridae. The record is from RefSeq and is a predicted model, not a curated record.